RNAcentral lists this long non-coding RNA (2431 nucleotides) under Olea europaea (common olive). RNAcentral describes it as "long non-coding RNA (OEUR_LNC007539)". Lineage: Eukaryota; Viridiplantae; Streptophyta; Magnoliopsida; Lamiales; Oleaceae. The record is from RNAcentral.
GUUAUAACGUAUUAAUUACGUUUUGAAAUUGUUCAAUUGAUUAAUAGAGUAUUAAUCAAAUUAGUUAAUUUUUUUAGGGCAUUGGGCCUAAUUUACCCAUUUUUCGCUCCUCGGGCAAAGCACUUUCGCAAGGGGCCCUUGGCUCCCUCCGUGCAUGAAAGCAGGUCUUAAAGGCCUCUAAUAAUCAAUUCUAAAACACAGUCAAUGCUCCUCAGUGAACUAUAUGUACACGGUAACAACCCCUUCAUCCCCAGUCGAUGCUUCAGUGUAGUAUAGAACACAAUCAUGUGAACUCGAAGAAAUAUAUAAUCAUGGUUACUCUUCUGAUCCAUCUCAAUAUCACGUGUCUUACAUUCCAAAUCACAAAUAUUUCAUAUCUUAUCUUUGAAUUCCACAACUAUCAUAACGAAAGAAUAUUUCCAUAAUAAUCAUGUAAUCGAAUAUAUACUUACGUAAUAUAAUAGUAUAAUUAAUUAUCAAUACUUGAAUAUAUUUAAAUUUUUUUCCACUCACGGAUCUACGGAUAUAAAUCUGAUUAAAUUGAUGAGCCUUUUCAAGCUUCCACGUCCUUAUCUGAAAUAACGGUAUAAUUUUUCGAAUUAAAACCAAACAAUUAAAAUAAUAUAAAUCCACCACUUAACUUCUCAACUUCUAUACUUAAUUUUUCGAAUUAAAACCAAACAAUUAAAUUAAUAUAAAUCCACCACUUAACUUCUUAACUUCUAUACUUACUUUUACAUCUCCAAUUCCCCAACUUUUCUUCUGUAUAUUGAAAUCUGGCAUCGAAACCGUUGACAGAAAUAGCACUUUUCUGGGUAGAAUUUCAAAAUUAACACCUGUACUAUAAUAGCUCGAAAAUUGAUUUUUAAAAAUGAAGAAUUCCAAUCUCAAAUACUUAAGUGUUUAGCAUCAUAUAAUCAGAAGAAACUCAAAGAAUAUCUCUUUUAUCUAGCAACCCACUUCUAAAAUUCUACUAUCUUCAUCUCCAAUUUUCAAAUAAACAUUUCCUUACUCUAUUCUUAUUUAAAACCUUGAAUACAUAUCAACAACACUUAAUUCUUGCUAACUUCAAACUUUUAAAGAUAAGUUCCGUAAACCCUAAAGGAGAUAAUUUCACAUUCUUAUACUUACCUCUCUAAAUCAAAGGGGGAAAUUGAGAACUUGACCUUGUAAACUUGGAACCUACCCCUUCGUUCUUUUUCUCUCUCUCUUCCAUUUCCUCCCUUUUCCUUCCAUGGUUUCAUUCCUGUUUCUCCAUUCAGUUUUUGUCCCCUCAAAAUGACCAAAAAGAGAUCAAUUAUCCUUUAAGUUAGUGGAUAACCAUUAUAAUAUUGCAACUAAAGUCCCCAUCCUUAAUAUAAUAUACCUUUAAUUCCAAUAAAUAGAAAACAAAUCCCUAAUUGUCUAUAUAUAUACUUUUGGCCCUUAAGUACUUGUAAUUACAAAUAAAGCCCCAUAAAAAUUAUUUUUUCAACUUAAAUCCUUAUUAACUUUGAAUUUGACUAAUUACUUUGCUUGACUUUGACUAAAAAUGAGUGGGGUGUAAUAAUCUUGCCCACUUCAAAGAAAUUCAUCCUCAAAAUUCAAUCCACUAGAAGUCGAACAUAUUGGAAAAUAAAGCAAAAAUAAUGAAUGAUUCCUCCAACAACCUUUAACAAGGCCCAAAGUUCAUUCUUUCCUUAUUAUACUUCGAAUAACUUUCCUAUGAACCAAUAUAUGAUAUUUUCAACUUUUCAUUUUACAUUUCUUAUUUCUCCUUCUCUAUAAAUAUGCACUCCCUGCAAUACCCAUAUACCUAUUCAGCUUAUCUUCUUCUCUUGUAAUUUUCCAUUUCACUUUUCAGUUAUGCCCAUAUACAACACACAACUUACUAAUGCAGUUUUCAAUUCCUCAUCCUUUUCUUUCCACGCCACAAAGUUUCAUUGUCCAUUUAAUUCUUUAAGGCACCACAACUACAUGUAGAGAGAAUCCAAAAUUUUGCACAACUUAAUACUUACCCGUACUAAAGUAAGAAACUUGAGCUUACCAAUUUCUUAAAUAAAGAAAGAAAAACACAACACCUAGACUUUAUCUCUAUUCCUCCUUUUUUUUUUUUUUUCAACCUAAUUUAUCACUAAUCUCUCUCAUUUUGUAACCUACCAUAUAAUUGGUCAAGGUAGUCAUAAUCCCAUCCUAUAUUUUUCUCGAAGUACACAUGAAUGUUAAUCUCUUCAAUGCGUAAUAUGCAUAAUAAAACAAUGUAUUUCAUUGAUCAACAUCCUAUAUAAUAUUAUCAUUUUGUCCUCUCAUAUAGCAUAAGUAUAUACCAACAUGCUUCCUACUCUCGUCCCAAAGGUAUGACCACAAUUCACCACAAUUUUCGAUAGCGCUAAUGAUCAUUUAGCUCCCCGACAUAAUCAAAAUCAUUUAGCUCCCCGACAUAAUCAAAAUC